This 841-nucleotide long non-coding RNA is filed under the name Calidris pugnax (ruff). RNAcentral's name for it is "lncRNA (ENSCPUG00000005180.1)". The record is from RNAcentral. Lineage: Eukaryota; Metazoa; Chordata; Aves; Charadriiformes; Scolopacidae.
CAGGGGAGCACUAUACUUUGCACUCGCUUCUUUUCUAACCAAUAUGCCUUAUGAUUUUGAUUGUUCCAAGGUACUCCUGAGUCUGAUUUUGUAUCCAGAACGUUUUGGAUGCCAUAUGACAGGAAAACAAUGCGAACUGAGAACAGCGUGGUAUCUUCCCUAACGUUCACUUAUGGGGAACAACAUGUGCCAUGUACAAUUUGAGGAUGCUAUUGGAUGCAGCAAGAUCAGAAGAAAAAGUCAACUGUUCACAGAGCUUUAUUAUCACAGAAGGUAGUACAGACAUCCCCUGGAGAUGAGGCAGAGAGCUCUGGAAGGCAUCCUUGGAAACGUCAGCCGAAAAAAACAGACUGGAUUUUGAGAGUAAGAGUGAAGAAAGAGCACUUUGAGUGAUCAGCUCCUCUCCAGUGCUACGGAGAUUCCCUGGCUGCUUGAGAGUUCUGGGUUUGUGAAAUCAGGGUGUUUAACCAAAAGCCAAAGGCUGACUAGUGUCUUCAGGUGUCCUAAUACUGCAGUGCCUAAAAAUGCUGUAGAGGGAAUAAGAGAGAUUAGGUAUAGUGUAUGGGAAUUAAACAGCUUUGACGUGUCUUUAGGCACCUGACUGUGGGAGCAGCCAAAACCUCUAAUUACCCAAAAGUUUGUCUCCACAAGUACGUAGGGAAGCUGAGCACCAGGCUUUCCCUUUUGAAGAAAAUAGUGUUUAGUAGGCAGUGAUUCAACUGUAUUUGUAUGAAAAAAAAAAAAGAGAAAUUUUCCAUCUGCGUUUUGUUUUGCAUAGAGAAACUUCAAAGACUUCCUCACUGUUUAUUUUUAUAAAUAAAUAUAUAACUGUACAAAUACA